RNAcentral lists this ribosomal RNA (426 nucleotides) under uncultured Chlamydiae bacterium. RNAcentral describes it as "bacterial SSU rRNA". It matches the Rfam family "Bacterial small subunit ribosomal RNA", at positions 958 to 1385 of the family's 1533-position model. Lineage: Bacteria; Pseudomonadati; Chlamydiota; Chlamydiia. The record is from RNAcentral.
AACGCGAAGAACCUUACCCAGGUUUGAAAUACAGAGGACGAUUCCAGAGAUGGAAUUUCCCGCAAGGGUCUCUGAACAGGUGCUGCAUGGCUGUCGUCAGCUCGUGCCGUGAGGUGUUGGGUUAAGUCCCGCAACGAGCGCAACCCUUAUCAUUAGUUGCCAACACGCGAGGUGGGGACUCUAAUGAGACUGCCUAGGUUAACUAGGAGGAAGGUGAGGAUGACGUCAAGUCCGCAUGGCCUUUAUGUCUGGGGCUACACACGUGCUACAAUGGACGGUACAGAAGGCAGCGAAGUCGUAAGAUGGAGCAAAUCCGAAAAGCCGUUCCCAGUUCGAAUUGUAGUCUGCAACUCGACUACAUGAAGCCGGAAUUGCUAGUAAUGACGUGUCAGCAACAACGUCGUGAAUACGUUCCCGGGCCUUGUA